RNAcentral lists this ribosomal RNA (440 nucleotides) under uncultured bacterium. RNAcentral describes it as "partial 16S ribosomal RNA". It matches the Rfam family "Bacterial small subunit ribosomal RNA", at positions 338 to 795 of the family's 1533-position model. The record is from RNAcentral.
CCUACGGGAGGCAGCAGUGGGGAAUAUUGCACAAUGGGGGAAACCCUGAUGCAGCGACGCCGCGUGAGUGAAGAAGUAAUUCGUUAUGUAAAGCUCUAUCAGCAGGGAAGAAAAUGACGGUACCUGAGUAAGAAGCCCCGGCUAACUACGUGCCAGCAGCCGCGGUAAUACGUAGGGGGCAAGCGUUAUCCGGAUUUACUGGGUGUAAAGGGAGCGUAGACGGCAGUGCAAGUCUGGAGUGAAAGGCGGGGGCUCAACCCCCGGACUGCUCUGGAAACUGUACGGCGUGAGUGCAGGAGAGGGAAGUGGAAAUCCUAGUGUAGGGGUGGAAUGCGUAGAUAAUAGGAGGAACACCAGUGGCGAAGGCGGCUUACUGGACUGUAACUGACGUUGAGGCUCGAAAGCGUGGGGAGCAAACAGGAGUAGAUACCCGUGUAGUC